GCUUUGUACUUAAGCGAUGAAAUGCGAUUCCUUAUCACUUUGUCUACUGUCUUGCCCAUAGCUUCUGCUGUCAUCCAACUAGUGUGGUGCCUCCGCGCAUUCCGUUCCCUCCAGAUAUGAUAAAUAGUUGUUUGAAACAACAUUUUGAUAAGAAUAGUAUCCAUUGACCCAUCUCGGAGCCCCUCCAUGUGGUCUAGUGUGAGCUGCCA
RNAcentral lists this long non-coding RNA (209 nucleotides) under Brassica napus (rape). RNAcentral describes it as "long non-coding RNA (BNAP_LNC025127)". The record is from RNAcentral. Lineage: Eukaryota; Viridiplantae; Streptophyta; Magnoliopsida; Brassicales; Brassicaceae.